RNAcentral lists this transfer RNA (72 nucleotides) under bacterium (Candidatus Gribaldobacteria) CG08_land_8_20_14_0_20_39_15. RNAcentral describes it as "tRNA-Thr". It matches the Rfam family "tRNA". From Rfam's summary of the family: Transfer RNA (tRNA) molecules are approximately 80 nucleotides in length. The record is from RNAcentral. Lineage: Bacteria; Candidatus Gribaldobacteria.
GCCGGAGUAACUCAAAGGUAGAGUAGCUAUCUCGUAAGUAGCAAGUUGCGAGUUCGAUUCUCGCCUCCGGCU